GGAGAGGCAAGAUGAAGAACAGGCCUGUCAGUUUGCACUGGCUACGUCUGGGAAGCAAAAAUUCAUCCACGUAUCUCC
Molecule: microRNA precursor, 78 nt
Filed under: Gallus gallus (chicken)
Lineage: Eukaryota; Metazoa; Chordata; Aves; Galliformes; Phasianidae
Description: microRNA gga-mir-1795 precursor
Source: miRBase by way of RNAcentral